This 465-nucleotide ribosomal RNA is filed under the name uncultured bacterium. RNAcentral describes it as "partial 16S ribosomal RNA". It matches the Rfam family "Bacterial small subunit ribosomal RNA", at positions 338 to 795 of the family's 1533-position model. The record is from RNAcentral.
CCUACGGGGGACAGCAGUAGGGAAUUUUCGUCAAUGGGCGCAAGCCUGAACGAGCGAUGCCGCGUGAGUGAAGAAGGCCUUCGGGUCGUAAAGCUCUGUUGCGGGGGAAAAAAGGCAGCAUCAGGAAAUGGGUGCUGACUGAUGGUGCCCCGCCAGAAAGUCACGGCUAACUACGUGCCAGCAGCCGCGGUAAUACGUAGGUGGCGAGCGUUAUCCGGAAUGAUUGGGCGUAAAGGGUGCGCAGGCGGUCCUGCAAGUCUGGAGUGAAACGCAUGAGCUCAACUCAUGCAUGGCUUUGGAAACUGGAGGACUGGAGAGCAGGAGAGGGCGGUGGAACGCCAGGUGUAGCGGUAAAAUGCGUAGAUAUAUGGAAGAACACCGGCGGCGAAGGCGGCCUGCUGGACCGCGACUGACGUUGAGGCUCGAAAGCGUGGGGAGCGAACAGGAUUAGAUACCCCAGUAGUC